RNAcentral lists this ribosomal RNA (418 nucleotides) under uncultured bacterium. Its description in RNAcentral is "bacterial SSU rRNA". It matches the Rfam family "Bacterial small subunit ribosomal RNA", at positions 355 to 787 of the family's 1533-position model. The record is from RNAcentral.
UUGGGAAUAUUGGACAAUGGAGGAAACUCUGAUCCAGUGACGCCGCGUGAAGGAAGAAGGUCUUCGGAUUGUAAACUUAUUUUGUCAGGGAAGAAACAAAUGACUGUACCUGAAGAAAAAGCACCGGCUAACUACGUGCCAGCAGCCGCGGUAAUACGUAGGGUGCAAGCGUUAUCCGGAUUUACUGGGUGUAAAGGGCGAGUAGACGGCGUUGCAAGUCAGAUGUGAAAACCCAGGGCUUAACCUUAGGACCGCAUCUGAAACUGUAAUGCUAGAGUGCAGGAGAGGUAAGCGGAAUUCCUAGUGUAGCGGUGAAAUGCGUAGAUAUUAGGAAGAACACCAGUGGCGAAGGCGGCUUACUGGACUGUAACUGACGUUGAGGCGCGAAAGCGUGGGGAGCAAACAGGAUUAGAUACCC